GACGAACGCUGGCGGCGUGCCUAAUACAUGCAAGUCGAGCGGACUUUCCGGGGUUCUUUCGCUUCGGCGGGUUAGCGGCGGGCGGGUGAGUCACGCGUAAGCUACCUUCCCCUUAGACCGGGAUACCAUUAGCUAACGCAAGCUCAUACCAGAUGGUCGGACCUCUCGCAUGGGGGGAGCGAGAAAGGCGGGGCGGUCUGCCGCUCGCGGCUGGUCCUGCGGCGCGUUGGCUGGUUGGUGGGGUAACGGCCUACCAAGGCGAGGAUGCGUAGCCGACCGGGGAGAGUGAUCGCCCACACUGGGGGUGAGACAGGCACCAGACGACUGCGGUAGGCAGCAGUAGGCAAUCUUCGGCAAUGGUCGGAAGUCUGACGGAGCAACGCCGCGUGAGUGAGAAAAGCCUUCGGGUCGUAAAGCUCGGUUGCCAGGGAAGAACCGGUAGGGGAGGAACUGAACUGGGCAUGACGGUACCUGAGAAGAAAGCCCCGGCUAACUACGUG
This 500-nucleotide ribosomal RNA is filed under the name uncultured bacterium. Its description in RNAcentral is "partial 16S ribosomal RNA". It matches the Rfam family "Bacterial small subunit ribosomal RNA", at positions 28 to 507 of the family's 1533-position model. The record is from RNAcentral.